CAGGGAGAAAGAUGCCAUGGACACAGGUGGGAGAAAGAUGCCAUGGACACAGGUGGGAGAAAGAUGCCAUGGACACAGGUGGGAGAAAGAUGCCAUGGACACAGGUGGGAGAAAGAUGCCAUGGACACAGGUGGGAGAAAGAUGCCAUGGACACAGGUGGGAGAAAGAUGCCAUGGACACAGGUGGGAGAAAGAUGCCAUGGACACAGGUGGGAGAAAGAUGCCAUGGACACAGGUGGGAGAAAGAUGCCAUGGACACAGGUGGGAGAAAGAUGCCAUGGACACAGGUGGGAGAAAGAUGCCAUGGGGGAAAGAUCCUGAAUCUCCUCAUGGUCCCCUCACUAUAUGUUGAGGUAAGAAUCAGAGUAUAAUGUUUGUAUGGAUGUCAACCCACUAACACAUGUUCCUGUCAUCAUCACCAAAUCAACUGCAUUACAGUAACAAAAGGACUUUGACGAACACAGAUCGUUGAUGCUACAAGCUCAUAAGAGCCAGGAUGUUAGCGUUCAGCAGUUACUUCUUCUCAACAGGGAAAGGGACAACUUCAAAAAUGUGUCAUGCAGAGGAAACAGACAAAUAUUUCGAAACCACUUUGUGGGCCUGUUACAUCACAAAUCACACGACGGAUUGGACGAAUAUAUCCACUUGGUUGGAUCAGAUUUGUUGAAUGUGAGCCAAUGACGCGUCCUGCGUUCCAGUGACCUCUUUUCCCACAUCUGUGCUUGAAUCCAGUUCUACAGAUUCUGAAUUUGGUUUUAAUUUAUUAUAUAUGAACAUUCCACCCCCCCCCCCUCCUCCAAAUUCACUGUGUACAGAAACAUUGGUUCAUUAAAAUCAUUGAGUUACGUGG
Oncorhynchus keta (chum salmon) is the source of this 849-nucleotide long non-coding RNA. RefSeq lists it as uncharacterized. NCBI's taxonomy places the organism in Eukaryota, Metazoa, Chordata, Actinopteri, Salmoniformes, Salmonidae. The transcript has 2 exons. The record is from RefSeq and is a predicted model, not a curated record.